GACGAAGGGGGCUAGCGUUGUUCGGAAUUACUGGGCGUAAAGCGCGUGUAGGCGGUUUUCCAAGUUGGGUGUGAAAGCCUUGGGCUUAACCCAAGAAAUGCACUCAGUACUGGAAGACUAGAGGACCGGAGAGGAUAGUGGAAUUCCCAGUGUAGUGGUGAAAUACGUAGAGAUUGGGAAGAACACCAGUGGCGAAGGCGGCUAUCUGGACGGUUUCUGACGCUAAGACGCGAAAGCGUGGGGAGCGAACAGG
Molecule: ribosomal RNA, 253 nt
Filed under: uncultured bacterium
Lineage: Bacteria
Description: partial 16S ribosomal RNA
Rfam family: Bacterial small subunit ribosomal RNA
Source: RNAcentral